This is a non-coding RNA of Paramuricea clavata, 430 nucleotides long. The record is from the annotation of a GenBank genome assembly. Lineage: Eukaryota; Metazoa; Cnidaria; Anthozoa; Malacalcyonacea; Plexauridae.
GGGUACAUAUUCAUAAUGAAAAAAUGAAAAAGCCUAUUUUCAUUAAUACAGGUUUUCCUUAAAAAGAUGAAAGACAUCUUGAGAAGUGGGAAAAUGUAGUCUAAGAGAGCAAUAAAUGAUGGGCAACAGUGAAGGGCAAAACGCCACAGCUACAUUUGUAGUAAUCAUUUCGAUGCAUGUGACUACACUCAUGGGUCGAUCCAGGAAGGUUUUUCUAGGGGGGGGGUGCUGGGUGAGCAGCCGAGUGUUCCUUUAUAAUUCUUUAGGGGGUGGUGGGAGAGCAUUCAAAUAAAUUGGCUUCCUAACGACUUGAGCGCCGAAGGCGCAAGCUCCCUAGGGGUCCAGGGGGUAUGCCCUCCAGAACAUUCUGAAAAUUAAAACCCUAGAAAUGCCAUUUCCUGCGAUAUGGGCAUUGAAUGAUGAGCUUCAG